AUACGUAGGGGGCAAGCGUUAUCCGGAUUUAUUGGGUUUAAAGGGUGCGCAGGCGGGAGAUUAAGUCGGCGGUGAAAUUUUGCAGCUCAACUGUAAAAGGGCCUUCGAAACUGGUUUCCUUGAGUGUAGAUGAAGUAGGCGGAAUUUGUGGUGUAGCGGUGAAAUGCAUAGAUAUCACGAGGAACUCCGAUUGCGCAGGCAGCUUACUAAACUACUACUGACGCUCAGGCACGAAGGCGUGGGGAUCAAACAGGAUUAGAUACCCUGGUAGUCCACGCAGUAAACGAUGAUUACUAGCUGUUUGCGAUACAAUGUAAGCGGCUGAGCGAAAGCGUUAAGUAAUCCACCUGGGGAGUACGUUCGCAAGAAUGAAACUCAAAGGAAUUGACGGGG
This 393-nucleotide ribosomal RNA is filed under the name uncultured bacterium. RNAcentral describes it as "partial 16S ribosomal RNA". It matches the Rfam family "Bacterial small subunit ribosomal RNA", at positions 523 to 918 of the family's 1533-position model. The record is from RNAcentral.